Molecule: long non-coding RNA, 3011 nt
Filed under: Triticum aestivum (bread wheat)
Lineage: Eukaryota; Viridiplantae; Streptophyta; Magnoliopsida; Poales; Poaceae
Description: long non-coding RNA (TAES_LNC011022)
Source: RNAcentral
AUAAUUGCAUAACGAUGGUUGUUCGUUUGUUAUUAUUCCAUAAUAUACAGGCCAAAUCAUGGCUGACACCGACAGCAAGAAGAUCGAUCUACCAGACGGGCUAUGCGUUGAAAUAUCUCCUGACGGUUGUACAUACCACGAUGGUCUUUGCUUCCAUUGUUUGGUAACUGACGUCUACUACCCCACUAUGGAUGACUGCAAGAGCAAUUGCAACAAAUCCUCGUCUUUACAAGACGUGCUAGUUGCCAUGACAACCUCCCCUCCUCCUCCUUUAUCUGCUCCUUAAUUUUCCGGCCUAGACAAUGGUUAUAUGUACAAGAUUGUCCCCUGAAAAUAAUGCCUAUGUGCGGAAACCAGUUAUGCAAUGCGAGUAAUAUACUGCAGCAGUUGUUGCUGAGUAUUUUGGUUUGGCAAAUCACAUUUGAACCUUUACUAGGAAUUGUUGGGAGAGCGAUGAAAUGACUCGCAAGCGCAGAUGCUCCGGAAAUCCGAGUGGUACAGCUUAGCUUGGGAUCUGUGUCGGUUAAAUCUGUGUCACAUAUACGUUUUAGAAUACAGAGGUGAAUACAUCUGCAGAUGGGCUAUACUGGACCAUAGUACUAACUCCUCGCAAAGUCGCAAGUCUCCUCUCUUCAAGUCCAUCGAUGUCCCAUGCAAAAUAAAAUGAAAUAAGUCCAUCGAUCUCUCACUUAAAAAGAGUCCUAUGGCUGUGGAUGACCAGGGAGGCCGCCCUUGGCCAAUAUCCGGCACCGGUGAGUUCGUAUACCCUGUCAUGGUGGGUUUCUCAUCUAUCCUACCUCUCAUGAGGCGUCCGGUUCUUGUCUUUCCCAAGCUCACAUUAAUAUUCCCAAAUCAGCCAUCGGCCGGCCUUGGCGACAUCAUCUUCAUCCACUCCCGUGCUGCACACACCCAUUUCUCUGAUCUCUUAAAGCAACUCUAGCCGAGCCCAUAAAAGAUACAGGAGUAUUUGGCCGGGUAAACCUUAAUGGAGUAAAUUUAGUCCACUAAGUUUUGGUCGGUUCUAGCUGAUCCCCUAAAUUUAGCGGAGUAAAAUAAAAUUUGGUUAAGAUGAACAUAGAUUCGAUCUAAACAAACUUCUAAACUGAAAUUCGACACGUAAUUUACAUUAUCAUCCGUCGAAACAUAGUUCAAAGCGAUACUAAAACUUGAACUCAAACAUAAGCUAAAAUCUAAAUCUAACCAAAAAAAUUAGUCGCUAUUCGACUUUGCGAGGGAGAGCAAGUCCUCCCUAGAGAUUCCACCGCCCAUGGGGUCAGUCCCUAGGUCGUCUUUGUUGUAUCCAGGAAGGUCCUUCACCACUUAUCGAUGUUGAAGCUGUCAUCGUUGCCGCCUCCACUGCCACCAUUGUUGCCGCCUCCACCGAGCCAGCUCGUCAUCGACCAGCGCCCACGUGCAUCUAGGGAUCAUACAUUCAACAGGGGGUGACUCCAUGAGUCAGGUGAUCCACAAAAACCGCAUGAGCUAGAGUCCACCAUAUGGCUGUGUGCCCAAUAUCAUUUGUUGCUAAAGAAUGUAUGGAUAGAUGCCAAAGGAACAGCCUCACGUUUCCCGGCACUAGAACUUUCCAUAAACUUUUCCAUGAGCCCUCUUCAGCAGCCGAGGUGGAGGAACCAUCCCUUUGAUCUAAGCAUGACUAUUGGAGAAUUAAUUACAAUUAUGAAAUAUACAAAUAUAGACAUAGGAGAUAAGUCCAACCAAAUUUGGGAACUUGUCUAAAAAGGGAGAAAAUUAGUCUGACUUGAUUUGUGCUUUUAAUGAGGGUUCAUAUUAUAGGAUGAUAUUAAAUAAAUCCAAUUUUAUUGCUUGAUGGUUUACACGGGAUAAGGAUGACCAGUUCUCUCUUCUCUCAAUAUAUACGAUCGAUUCAUGUGCUCAUUGGUAACCAAACAUUUCUCAUCGACAACCAAAGUGACCUGAGAGCUUGCGUAGCUAGUGUUGUAUCUGGUUGGCCAUGGACAAGUACACGAUUCGCAUCCUUGCACUAGGAGCCCUAGUGUGUCUACAUCUCGUAUGCUCUGCUACUGUUGCUCAAUGUAAGGCAGCUAGCACACCGAUAUUUAUGUAUCUUCACAAUGCUUAAUUUUUCUUCACUUGUCCUGGCUGGAAGUAUGUACCUAGUAUAGCUAUCAAAGGCCUUUCUAUUUUGCUUUGUAACUGGUUCCAUCGUUUAUAUGCAUAUAUAUACAUACACACUACUCUAAAAUAAUUGCAUAACGAUGGUUGUUCGUUUGUUAUUAUUCCAUAAUAUAUAGGCCAAAUCAUGGCUGACACCGAUAGCAAGAAGAUCGAUCUACCAGACGGGCUAUGCGUUAAAAUAUCUCCUGAUGGUUGUACAUACCACGAUGGUCUUUGCUUCCAUUGUUUGGUAACUGACGUCUACUACCACACUAUGGAUGACUGCAAGAGCAAUUGUAACAAAUCCUCGUCUUUACAAGACGUGCUAGUUGCCAUGACAACCUCCCCUCCUCCUCCUUUAUCUGCUCCUUAAUUUUCCGGCCUAGACAAUGGUUAUAUGUACAAGAUUGUCCCCUGAAAAUAAUGCGUAUGUGCGGAAACCAGUUAUGCAAUGCGAGUAAUAUACUGCAGCAGUUGUUGCUGAGUAUUUUGGUUUGGCAGAUCACAUUUGAACCUUUACUAGCAAUUGUUGGGAGAGCGAUGAAAUGACUCGCAAGCGCAGAUGCUCCGGAAAUCUGAGUGGUACAACUUAGCUUGGGAUCUGUGUCAGUUAACUCUUUGUCACAUAUACGUUUUAGAAUACAGAGGUGAAUACAUUUGCAGAUGGGCCAUACUGGACCAUAGUACUCAGUACUCGCAAAGUCACAAGUCUCCUCUCUUCAAGUCCAUCGAUGUCCCAUGCAAAAUAAAAUGAAAUAAGUUCAUCGAUCUCUCGCUUAAAAAGAGUCCUAUGGCUGUGGAUGACCAAGGAGGCCGCCCUUGGCCAAUAUCCGGCACCAGUGAGUUCUUCUACCCUGUCAUGGUGGGUUUCGCAU